CAAUAGCGUAUAUUAAAGUUGUUGCGGUUAAAAAGCUCGUAGUUGGAUUUCUGCUGAGAACGACCGGUCCGCCCUUUGGGUGUGUAUCUGGCUCUUUCUUGGCAUCUUCUUGGUGAACGUUGCUGCACUUGACUGUGUGGAGCGCUACCCAGGACUUUUACUUUGAGGAAAUUAGAGUGUUUCAAGCAGGCAUACGCCUUGAAUACAUUAGCAUGGAAUAAUAAGAUAGGACCUCGGUUCUAUUUUGUUGGUUUCUAGAGCUGAGGUAAUGAUUAAUAGGGAUAGUUGGGGGCAUUCGUAUUUAACUGUCAGAGGUGAAAUUCUUGGAUCUGCUAAAGACGGACAAGUGCGAAAGCGUUCGCCCAGGAUGUUUUCAUUG
This 379-nucleotide ribosomal RNA is filed under the name uncultured eukaryote. RNAcentral's name for it is "partial 18S ribosomal RNA". It matches the Rfam family "Eukaryotic small subunit ribosomal RNA", at positions 592 to 975 of the family's 1831-position model. The record is from RNAcentral.